CGGGAGGGGCGGGCCAGGCCAGGCCACGCGGCUCCUCCCCCGCCGCUGCCCCCCCCGCCGGGUACGGGCCCAGCCGGCCGCCCAGCGCCGCGGCAAGUUUGUGGGAAGCAGCAGCAGCAGCAGCCGAGGGGCACGGAGGCGGCGACGGCCGGAGCUACCAUGGCUGGCGGGACGAGCUCCGCGCUCUCGGAGUCCGGCUGGUAUCUUUCAGAUGAAGGAAUUGAAGCUUGCACAAAUUCUUCUGACAAAGUCAAUAUAAGUGAUGUUAUCCUGAUUGCCCUUAAUACAGAUUUAAGAACUAUUGGCAAGAAAUUCCUCUCCAGUGACAUCAAUGGUGGAAAGGUGGAAAAGCUAGAAGGCCCAUGUGUCCUGCAGAUACAAAAAAUACGCAAUGUUGCUGCACCAAAGGAUAAUGAAGAAUCUCAAGCUGCUCCCAGAAUGCUGCGUUUGCAGAUGACUGAUGGACACACAAGCUGCACAGCAAUAGAAUAUAAUUACAUGUCAAAAAUAAGCUUGAACACACCACCUGGAACAAAAAUUAAGCUGUCAGGAAUUGUUGAAGUGAAAAAUGGAUUCCUGCUUUUGGAUGACAGUAACACUGUCGUUCUCGGCGGUGAAGUGGAUCAUCUUAUAGAAAAGUGGGAGUUACAAAGGAGUUUAUCAAAACACAAUAGAAGUAACAUUGGAACAGAAGGUGGACCACCCCCUUUUGUGCCAUUUGGGCAGAAAUGUGUGUCUUCUGUGCAAGUGGACAGCAGGGAACUUGAUCAGAGAAAGACUCUGCAAAUGAUGAGCACUGCUAAGCCUGUUGGAGACAAUGAUGAAUUUGAAAAACAGAGAACAGCUGCUAUUGCAGAAGUAGCAAAGAGCAAGGAGACCAAGACAUUUGGAGGAGGCGGUGGCAGUACUAGAAGCAAUCUUAAUGUGAGUGCUGGAGGGAAUCGAAACAGGGAAGUGUUCCAGAAAGAAAAGAUAACAAAACCUGAGGGGAAAAAUGAAGGUGUCUAUCGUGAACUGGUUGAUGAAAAGGCUCUAAAGCACAUAACAGAAAUGGGUUUCAGUAAAGAAGCCGCAAGGCAGGCGCUUAUGGAUAAUAGCAACAGCCUAGAAGCAGCAUUAAAUUUUCUUCUGAACAGCAGUAAACAGAAACCUAUCCAGGGACCGCCACCUAGAGGGAAAGGAAAGGGCAGAGGCCGACUAAGACCUGAAGAUGAAGAGGAACUAGGAAAUGCCAGACCUUCUGCACCCAGCACACUGUUUGACUUCUUAGAGUCCAAAAUGGGUACUCUGACAGUAGAAGAACCAAAAUCACAGUCUCAUCCACCACAUCAAGUGCAACACAGAGUGCUCAAUAUAGAGCAGAAUGGCAUAAAAGACUACACCCAUCCAAGACAUCUUCCUCGAAAUGAUACUAGACAGCCAAGAAAUGAGAAACCCCCUCGUUUUCAAAGGGACAUUCAGAAUUCAAGACAGGUUUUGGAAAGUAGUGGCUUACCAAGAAACAGAGGUCCUGAAAAACACAGCUCUUUAGGACUAGAGCAGUGGACUGAGGAUAAAAAUAAGUGUGAUAGACUUUAUCCAAGGAAUGAUAGGCUAAAGGAUAUUGGUCAUCCCUCAGCCAUUCACCAGAGUGAUGUUUCUUUUAGAAAGAGGGAUAAUACUAUGCAAAACAGACUAGGAAAAGGGGCUGCAUUCAUGGAAUUGAGAGAGAAUUCCAGUGUUCAAGAUACCAUUGGUGAUGAUGAUGAUCAGAAACGAGGAAAAAAGGAAAACCAAAUACAUAAUCCUGACAAUUUUUAUGACAGGAAAACACGAACAAUAAGUAAUGAAACUUUCAGUUUAAAAAAUGAGCAACAUUUUGGUAUGAAUAGUGACUACAAGAAUCCUAUUAGAACUGAUAGUUUUAAUGCUUUACCUAAUGGAGACACUGAAUAUCCACAGAAAGGAAGACGAGUAGGACCUAUUAAAUCACCAGGACCCAAUGUUGCUCCACCUUUUGAAGACAAAAUGUUAUAUUAUAACGCUGGUCCGAAAAGGAGAUCUGGGCCCAUCAAACCAGAAAAAAUAUUGGAACCGUCUAUUCCUGUGGAGUAUGGUAAAAGCUGGAGGCCCAGGGAUGAAUGUUUUGCUCUUUAUUGGGAAGACAACAAGUUUUAUAGAGCAGAAAUUGAAGCUCUUCAUUCUUCUGGAACAACUGCAGUUGUUAAAUUCUGUGAUUAUGGAAACUAUGAAGAGGUGCUACUAAGCAACAUCAAGCCCAUUCACGCAGAGGCAUGGAUCUUCCAUUGUGGGCAAAAUGGAACUGAGGAGGAAACAAAAACAUGAGUGUGUAGCUGUUGCAGCAGUGUCUGUUCCUUUGUUGAUGGAGCUCCCUCAGUGCACACCUCCUUUCCUUUUUCUCUCUAUGACAGUGAUGGUGAACCUUCUUGAAUCAGAGGGCCACAAGUUAAAUUUUUCUAGUUAUUGGAUGCAGACUUUAGAAGGGCUUCAGUUGUGUUAAAUCUUUCCCCUUUCUAGCUUUCACUCUUCUUCCCUAUUCUACCUUUCUCACCUAAUCUAUUCCUCUCCUUGAAAUUUUUCCCCUUUCAGUUAUUUCUUCCUGGUCUUUCCCUUCCUUUCCUUUCAGUCUACUGUUAUCUGUCUCAUUCUGGCCCUGCCUCUCUUGACAUCUGACAUCAACUGGAUUACGUCAGCUAUCUCCACUGCUGAUCAUCACUUCUACCAAGGCUCAGAACUCCAUUUGUGGCACAGCCAACAGAAAUGGCAUCAAAUGCCAUAGAGGUUCAUCAUCACUGUUCUAGGAGAUGAGUGAAGUUGAGCCCUCAGUGAGAGAAUCACUCUGGCCUUAUAGCAUAAGUUUCAGCCCAAUUAAAGGAGGGAACUGCGGACCAAAGCUUGAUGUCUUGACCCGAAAAGGACUAUCUAAUGCCAUGUCAUUGGGCGAGCUUCAUCAAGGAGGGAAAGGAAGUACUGCAAACGAGGAGGAGGAAGAUGGUUAUGAACAAACUCUAGAGUUCCGCAGAGGAGGUGAUGGUCAGCCAAGGCGGUCCA
Caretta caretta (loggerhead turtle) is the source of this 3051-nucleotide non-coding RNA. Lineage: Eukaryota; Metazoa; Chordata; Testudines; Cheloniidae. The record is from RefSeq and is a predicted model, not a curated record.